GCUUCUGUCAGCGAAAAGUUCAGUUGACCACUCUGAUGGAGUCACUGAAUUAGUAGGAAGUGGGGGAUUGGUGGAUCUAUGGGACCAAUCAUAUUAUACAGAUGAAUCCAAUCUGGAUCAAUUCUUGGCAAAGCUUAAUGCUCUACACAUUUCACCCAAGAGAAAAACUCCAAAUUUUGACACUUGUCUGCAUGUUACAGGGCAUUGAGGAAAGUGAGGUUUGACCGAUUGGUGGGGGCCCUUGGUGGUGAUGUGUAUAGUUUUAUUUUUUCUUGGAUUUUGUAUAUAUAUAGAAUCAUAUUCGUAAUCGUAGUUUUAGUUGCUAACACGUCAAAUACCAUGUAUCGUCAAAUAUCAUCUGCUUAAUCAUCGAUGUCAUGCCAUCUAGUCAAACUCUUUCAAAUUUGACAAAUCGCUAAUUUGUAUGUUUUCUCAUUA
Long non-coding RNA from Lotus japonicus, 438 nucleotides. RefSeq lists it as uncharacterized. The record is from RefSeq and is a predicted model, not a curated record. The transcript has 2 exons. Lineage: Eukaryota; Viridiplantae; Streptophyta; Magnoliopsida; Fabales; Fabaceae.